Molecule: long non-coding RNA, 583 nt
Filed under: Phoenix dactylifera (date palm)
Lineage: Eukaryota; Viridiplantae; Streptophyta; Magnoliopsida; Arecales; Arecaceae
Description: long non-coding RNA (PDAC_LNC008534)
Source: RNAcentral
UAAACAAUUUUGAAUAUAUGUCAUGGUGGUGCUACAUACUCUAAACAAUGAAAAUUACUAUUGUCCACUUAAGAGUACGUUUCACUUGAAACUUUGCCGAAUUGAAAUUUAGAAUUCACUAUCCCUUUCCUAUCGCAAAUUUUAUCUCAUUAUUAAUCAUUGUAUUAAUCAUCAAAAUACCACUAUCAUCCUCAAUCUCCUCCUUUUUGAUGAUUACAAAAUAUUGAGUAUGAUCAAAUUGAUUUUUAUCUUAAAAUUAAUUUUAGAAGGGCUCAAGUUGCUGAAUUUCAGCUUUUCAAAUAUGAGAGUGAAGUCUCCCCCUAUUUCAUCCAAAUGUUGCCAAUUUGAACUUAUGGUCUUCUCCCCCUUUCUUUUAUACUGGUUAAAGAUGACACUUCAAAAAUUUGAGAUAAUGAAAGAGUUUCAGAUUAUGUAUCGAGGUAUGAAAGGUAUGUGCCAAAAUCUGAAAUUCGAUUUAAAUUUUAGACUUUAACAUUUUCAUUGUACAAAUUGCUCCCCCUUAAAUGUAUAGUCUUUCCUAUUAUAAUUUUCAACCUUGUUUGUCAACUUAUUUCUCUUUCCU